GACGUAGGGCGCGAGCGUUGUCCGGAUUUAUUGGGCGUAAAGAGCUCGUAGGCGGCUCAUUGCGUCAACCGUGAAAACCUGCAGCUUAACUGUGGGCUUGCGGUUGAUACGGGUGGGCUGGAGUUCGGUAGGGGAGACUGGAAUUCCUGGUGUAGCGGUGAAAUGCGCAGAUAUCAGGAGGAACACCGGUGGCGAAGGCGGGUCUCUGGGCCGAUACUGACGCUGAGGAGCGAAAGCGUGGGGAGCGAACAGG
This 253-nucleotide ribosomal RNA is filed under the name uncultured bacterium. Its description in RNAcentral is "partial 16S ribosomal RNA". It matches the Rfam family "Bacterial small subunit ribosomal RNA", at positions 524 to 776 of the family's 1533-position model. The record is from RNAcentral.